Molecule: transfer RNA, 72 nt
Rfam family: tRNA
About the family: Transfer RNA (tRNA) molecules are approximately 80 nucleotides in length. Their secondary structure includes four short double-helical elements and three loops (D, anti-codon, and T loops).
Source: Rfam
GAGUUAGUCGUCUAAUGGUUAAGACUAUUGCCUUUUAAGCAAUCCAUAUUGGUUCGAUUCCAAUCUAACUCA